UACGGAGGGUGCAAGCGUUAUCCGGAUUCACUGGGUUUAAAGGGUGCGUAGGUGGUCCGUUAAGUCAGUUGUGAAAUCCCCGGGCUCAACCCGGGAACUGCUUCUGAUACUGGCGGACUUGAGGCCAGUAGGGGUCACUAGAACUGACGGUGGAGCGGUGAAAUGCGUAGAUAUCGUCAGGAAUGCCGGUGGUGAAGACGGGUGACUGGGCUGGUUCUGACACUGAGGCACGAAAGCGUGGGGAGCAAACAGG
This 253-nucleotide ribosomal RNA is filed under the name uncultured bacterium. Its description in RNAcentral is "partial 16S ribosomal RNA". It matches the Rfam family "Bacterial small subunit ribosomal RNA", at positions 524 to 776 of the family's 1533-position model. The record is from RNAcentral.